AUUGAACGCUGGCGGCAUGCCUUACACAUGCAAGUCGAACGGUAACAGGCCUUCGGAUGCUGACGAGUGGCGAACGGGUGAGUAAUACAUCGGAACGUGCCUAGUAGUGGGGGAUAACUACUCGAAAGAGUGGCUAAUACCGCAUGAGAUCUACGGAUGAAAGCAGGGGAUCGCAAGACCUUGUGCUACUAGAGCGGCCGAUGGCAGAUUAGGUAGUUGGUGGGAUAAAAGCUUACCAAGCCGACGAUCUGUAGCUGGUCUGAGAGGACGAUCAGCCACACUGGGACUGAGACAAGGCCCAGACUCCUACGGGAGGCAGCAGUGGGGAAUUUUGGACAAUGGGCGAAAGCCUGAUCCAGCAAUGCCGCGUGCAGGAUGAAGGCCUUCGGGUUGUAAACUGCUUUUGUACGGAACGAAAAGCCCCGGGUUAAUACCCUGGGGUCAUGACGGUACCGUAAGAAUAAGCACCGGCUAACUACGUGCCAGCCGCCGCGGUAA
RNAcentral lists this ribosomal RNA (498 nucleotides) under uncultured bacterium. RNAcentral describes it as "partial 16S ribosomal RNA". It matches the Rfam family "Bacterial small subunit ribosomal RNA", at positions 30 to 523 of the family's 1533-position model. The record is from RNAcentral.